GUACACAAAAAUGCACAUAUUGUGAGCUCGAUGAGUAGGGCGGGACACGUGGUAUCCUGUCUGAAUAUGGGGGGACCAUCCUCCAAGGCUAAAUACUCCUGACUGACCGAUAGUGAACCAGUACCGUGAGGGAAAGGCGAAAAGAACCCCGGCGAGGGGAGUGAAAAAGAACCUGAAACCGUGUACGUACAAGCAGUGGGAGCCUCUUUAUGGGGUGACUGCGUACCUUUUGUAUAAUGGGUCAGCGACUUAUAUUCUGUAGCAAGGUUAACCGAAUAGGGGAGCCGAAGGGAAACCGAGUCUUAACUGGGCGUUAAGUUGCAGGGUAUAGACCCGAAACCCGGUGAUCUAGCCAUGGGCAGGUUGAAGGUUGGGUAACACUAACUGGAGGACCGAACCGACUAAUGUUGAAAAAUUAGCGGAUGACUUGUGGCUGGGGGUGAAAGGCCAAUCAAACCGGGAGAUAGCUGGUUCUCCCCGAAAGCUAUUUAGGUAGCGCCUCGUGAAUUCAUCUCCGGGGGUAGAGCACUGUUUCGGCAAGGGGGUCAUCCCGACUUACCAACCCGAUGCAAACUGCGAAUACCGGAGAAUGUUAUCACGGGAGACACACGGCGGGUGCUAACGUCCGUCGUGAAGAGGGAAACAACCCAGACCGCCAGCUAAGGUCCCAAAGUCAUGGUUAAGUGGGAAACGAUGUGGGAAGGCCCAGACAGCCAGGAUGUUGGCUUAGAAGCAGCCAUCAUUUAAAGAAAGCGUAAUAGCUCACUGGUCGAGUCGGCCUGCGCGGAAGAUGUAACGGGGCUAAACCAUGCACCGAAGCUGCGGCAGCGACACUAUGUGUUGUUGGGUAGGGGAGCGUUCUGUAAGCCUGUGAAGGUGGCCUGUGAGGGUUGCUGGAGGUAUCAGAAGUGCGAAUGCUGACAUAAGUAACGAUAAAGCGGGUGAAAAGCCCGCUCGCCGGAAGACCAAGGGUUCCUGUCCAACGUUAAUCGGGGCAGGGUGAGUCGACCCCUAAGGCGAGGCCGAAAGGCGUAGUCGAUGGGAAACAGGUUAAUAUUCCUGUACUUGGUGUUACUGCGAAGGGGGGACGGAGAAGGCUAUGUUGGCCGGGCGACGGUUGUCCCGGUUUAAGCGUGUAGGCUGGUUUUCCAGGCAAAUCCGGAAAACCAAGGCUGAGGCGUGAUGACGAGGCACUACGGUGCUGAAGCGACAAAUGCCCUGCUUCCAGGAAAAGCCUCUAAGCAUCAGGUAACAUCAAAUCGUACCCCAAACCGACACAGGUGGUCAGGUAGAGAAUACCAAGGCGCUUGAGAGAACUCGGGUGAAGGAACUAGGCAAAAUGGUGCCGUAACUUCGGGAGAAGGCACGCUGAUAUGUAGGUGAAGCGACUUGCUCGUGGAGCUGAAAUCAGUCGAAGAUACCAGCUGGCUGCAACUGUUUAUUAAAAACACAGCACUGUGCAAACACGAAAGUGGACGUAUACGGUGUGACGCCUGCCCGGUGCCGGAAGGUUAAUUGAUGGGGUUAGCGGUAACGCGAAGCUCUUGAUCGAAGCCCCGGUAAACGGCGGCCGUAACUAUAACGGUCCUAAGGUAGCGAAAUUCCUUGUCGGGUAAGUUCCGACCUGCACGAAUGGCGUAAUGAUGGCCAGGCUGUCUCCACCCGAGACUCAGUGAAAUUGAACUCGCUGUGAAGAUGCAGUGUACCCGCGGCAAGACGGAAAGACCCCGUGAACCUUUACUAUAGCUUGACACUGAACAUUGAGCCUUGAUGUGUAGGAUAGGUGGGAGGCUUUGAAGUGUGGACGCCAGUCUGCAUGGAGCCGACCUUGAAAUACCACCCUUUAAUGUUUGAUGUUCUAACGUUGGCCCGUAAUCCGGGUUGCGGACAGUGUCUGGUGGGUAGUUUGACUGGGGCGGUCUCCUCCUAAAGAGUAACGGAGGAGCACGAAGGUUGGCUAAUCCUGGUCGGACAUCAGGAGGUUAGUGCAAUGGCAUAAGCCAGCUUGACUGCGAGCGUGACGGCGCGAGCAGGUGCGAAAGCAGGUCAUAGUGAUCCGGUGGUUCUGAAUGGAAGGGCCAUCGCUCAACGGAUAAAAGGUACUCCGGGGAUAACAGGCUGAUACCGCCCAAGAGUUCAUAUCGACGGCGGUGUUUGGCACCUCGAUGUCGGCUCAUCACAUCCUGGGGCUGAAGUAGGUCCCAAGGGUAUGGCUGUUCGCCAUUUAAAGUGGUACGCGAGCUGGGUUUAGAACGUCGUGAGACAGUUCGGUCCCUAUCUGCCGUGGGCGCUGGAGAACUGAGGGGGGCUGCUCCUAGUACGAGAGGACCGGAGUGGACGCAUCACUGGUGUUCGGGUUGUCAUGCCAAUGGCACUGCCCGGUAGCUAAAUGCGGAAGAGAUAAGUGCUGAAAGCAUCUAAGCACGAAACUUGCCCCGAGAUGAGUUCUCCCUGACUCCUUGAGAGUCC
This 2469-nucleotide ribosomal RNA is filed under the name Escherichia coli. RNAcentral's name for it is "partial 23S ribosomal RNA". It matches the Rfam family "Bacterial large subunit ribosomal RNA", at positions 375 to 2828 of the family's 2925-position model. Lineage: Bacteria; Pseudomonadati; Pseudomonadota; Gammaproteobacteria; Enterobacterales; Enterobacteriaceae. The record is from RNAcentral.